Molecule: long non-coding RNA, 409 nt
Organism: Mus pahari (shrew mouse)
Lineage: Eukaryota; Metazoa; Chordata; Mammalia; Rodentia; Muridae
Exons: 2
Source: RefSeq, a predicted model, not a curated record
GGUGUUUACAUUCAUGGAUUGUUUUUGGAUGGAGCUUCCUGGGACAGGAAGACCAAGAAACUUGAAGAAUCACAUCCUAAAGUUCUGUAUGACACCGUCCCCGUGAUGUGGCUAAAGCCAUGCAAAAAGUCAGACAUACCCAAACGACCAAGCUACGUUGCUCCACUGUACAAGACAAGCGAGAGGAGGGGCACACUCUCCACCACUGGCCACUCCACAAAUUUCGUGAUUGCCAUGAUUCUUCCCUCUGACCACCCCAAGGAACACUGGAUUGGACGGGGUGUGGCAUUGCUGUGCCAACUAAACUCAUAAUCUGAAGGUGGCAUCAUCUCUUGCAACUUCUUGUUAGAUUGAAUAAAACACAUUUUACUGUUUAAAUUUUGCUUUGGCUUAAAUAAACUUAACCUUC